Molecule: long non-coding RNA, 796 nt
Filed under: Homo sapiens (human)
Lineage: Eukaryota; Metazoa; Chordata; Mammalia; Primates; Hominidae
Description: SOX2 overlapping transcript
Source: RNAcentral
GGAAAACUGUCGUAAAAGGGGACGCGGAGGAGAAGGAAAGUCGCUCAAGCAGUGGACAGAGCGGAGAAAGCGACUUCGGUUCAGCCUGAGAAAACUCCUGAGCAUGUGCGAAAAAGAAAAGAAGAAAAGAAAAGUAAAGAAAAGAAAAAAGGAAAAAGGGCAAGCUCCUGAGUGGAUCUCUCAGGGAGCCACCAGACAGCCGCAGAGAGAAGAAGCUGCCCAAGAAUGGAAAGGAAGAAAUAUAUCACAUCAUCUGUCUGUCCACAGGCUUUCCUUGGGGCUUAUGAAGUGAAUGAAGGAGGGAAGAAAGGAGAGACAGAGAAAAUAUGGGAAGUAUGCAGCUGGCAUCAGAAGCUGGAAGAUAGGAUCUUCCCGGAUCACAGCUCCUGUUCAGAAAGUCUGAGGAUGUCAGACUGAGACUGUUGAGUCUGAGGAUGUCAGACUGAGAUUGUUGAGUCUCAGGAUGUUGCAGGACAGGAUGGAUGAAGAAUGCUAGUCCUGGCAGUUGGGGCCUAAGGCCAGGGCCCUUUUUUAUCACUUUCUUGUGUUGCCUCUCUGCCCAAGAAAAAAUCUGUCUCUUGCAUACAGCUCCUCUAAUACGUGUCCAUUAGAAGGAAGGAGUUUCUUUAAUGAGCUCUAUGGUUUUAUCUUGCUCAUAACAGCUUAGUUUAAUGCCACUGAAACUGUAACAUUUUUUUGUGCCUAAUAUCAACUGACAAAUAUAAAGUUAUUCCUAAUUUAUUAAUUCAAAUGAUAUAUUGCAAAAUAAAAUCUGCUUAAUAUGAAAAGAAGUAAU